AUGCAAACGCUGCUUAUUUUAAGUAGAGGAAAGUCCACGCUCACACAGUUCUGUAAUGGACGUAGUGUUCAUGCAAAGGGAAAAAAUAACCUUUGGCAGGUAUUAUGCCUGACGGCGCAAAUAUAACCUAAGUUUUUUAAUAUGGUUAUUAGUAGCAUAAAGUGCCACAGUGACGAUGCCUUUUAGAAAUAAAAGGAGUGGAACGGGUAAACCCCAUGAGUGAGAAACCCAAAUUUGGUAGGGGAGUCUUUAUGAAGGAAUAAAAACGGAUUAAAGGAUACUUUUAUAGUAUAGAUAAAUGUUUGCAACCAACUUAUGUUGGUACAGAACGUGGCUUAUU
This 340-nucleotide RNase P RNA is filed under the name pig gut metagenome. Its description in RNAcentral is "Bacterial RNase P class B". It matches the Rfam family "Bacterial RNase P class B". Rfam says of the family: Ribonuclease P (RNase P) is a ubiquitous endoribonuclease, found in archaea, bacteria and eukarya as well as chloroplasts and mitochondria. Its best characterised activity is the generation of mature 5'-ends of tRNAs by cleaving the 5'-leader elements of precursor-tRNAs. Cellular RNase Ps are ribonucleoproteins. The record is from RNAcentral.